UAGUAAUCACAGGUCAGCAUACUGUGGUGAAUACGUUCCCGGGCCUUGUACACACCGCCCGUCACACCAUGAGAGUUGAGAAUACCCGAAGCCCAUGUCAAAGUGGUCGAAGGUAGGCUUGAUGAUUGGGGUGAAGUCGUAACAAGGUAGC
This 151-nucleotide ribosomal RNA is filed under the name uncultured bacterium. RNAcentral describes it as "partial 16S ribosomal RNA". It matches the Rfam family "Bacterial small subunit ribosomal RNA", at positions 1336 to 1500 of the family's 1533-position model. The record is from RNAcentral.